ACGAAGAUAACAAGAGAAAUAUCUGCACAAAGGGGUUUAGCUGAUGAACCCUACCCAAAGUCAAUCAUUUUCUCAUCUUCAAACUUCAUUUACCCAUUUCCAAGCCCAACAAGGAGUGACUUCCUACACCAGAGUUAAUGGAUAAAGACUUUUUGGCAAGGGGUGAAGUUUUCAGGACACUCCAGGAUUCUCUCAACUAUAAACAUCGCUACAAUCAUGAGCUCAUGGAUAUUCCCUUAUGCUGAUUCACUAGCUGCUUCCAUUUCUUGAAGAGAAUAUAAUGUUGCUUUUGCAAAGCAGCCGAAAAUAUCUUAGGUUUAUUUUGAUUAGGUAUCCGACCGGUUAUGGCUUCUUUAGGGGAAGUCUUGGAACUGAAACGUUGACUUUAGCUCCAGAGUUAACGAAUGUCGACCUCCUCCAUCGUUGGACUGCCUUGUAGUCAAGACUCUUUGUUCGAUUUCUUGGACACAUUUGAAGAAUGGUUCCCGUCCCUCAACUUAAUUAUUUAACCAAGAUAUCUCGUUGGCUGUA
This is a long non-coding RNA of Coffea eugenioides, 531 nucleotides long. RefSeq lists it as uncharacterized. Lineage: Eukaryota; Viridiplantae; Streptophyta; Magnoliopsida; Gentianales; Rubiaceae. The transcript has 2 exons. The record is from RefSeq and is a predicted model, not a curated record.